Molecule: RNA transcript, 3934 nt
Organism: Bombus terrestris (buff-tailed bumblebee)
Lineage: Eukaryota; Metazoa; Arthropoda; Insecta; Hymenoptera; Apidae
Gene: MAPk-Ak2
Gene name: MAP kinase-activated protein kinase 2
Exons: 12
Source: RefSeq, a predicted model, not a curated record
GGGCGCUUCGCUUUGCCGCCAUAGCCGUUUUAUCUACUAGUGUUUGUGAAUUGGCUUUUGGUAUGAAAGUCCGAGUCGUUGAGUGGACUUGAGUUCAGUAGUCAGUAGUGGUCGGUCGAAUGCACGGAAAGUAUGGUUAUGGAAAAAGUUGCGUUUGGUUAACUUUCCUCUUAUUAGGUUUUUCACAGCGAGAAAAAUCGGUUUCCAACGGCGUCAUCGAAUAAUUUCAUAUUCGUGUUAAAACCGGCUAUUUUACGACAGGUCAGGUAGACAAAUAUUUUGAUCUUUUUGACCGUUUGGUAUUCGCGUGACACACCUCCGGGAAACUUUUUCUUUUUUUCAUGUGAAACAAACGAAUAGAAGCAUAGUUACAUUCUGAAUAUUCGUGAACAUUAUUUUUUAUACCUUCGUAUCGAAUUGUGAUUCAGUGUUAUGACGUAUCGUGACAAGAAUAAUUCUUAAGAAAUAAUACUAAUCGAGUGUUCUCAUGACAGUGUGAAAUAUAAAAUGUUGUAACAGUGUUAUUCUUUCUUUUAAAUAUAUCAUUUUAUGGCGGGAAAUUGAACUUUGAAGAAGCGGACGUCACCAACUGGCCUCUUCCCUCUCUGUGCGAUUAUUCUUUGGAUAUCGAGUUUUGAGUUACGAUUAGAAACACAUUCUUAUUUUAUUCGACGACGCGGAGCUCACACAGUUAAUCCAUAACUCACCGCUACCUGACUGUGUUACCUCUGAGAAUUCUUUGGAAUUUCGGCCCUCCCGGAAGGCGAUGCUUUCUAUCUUCGUUCAACGAUUCGAUUAGAAAGAUUUCGAAACGUUAAAAAAGCUACACAAAUGCCGAAAUCGGCAGCCAAGUGGACAUUCUGGAGUUUAAGAAAGUGCAAGAGGCCCGUCGGCGAGGAGAACGAGGAGAAUAAGAAAGGAAAACGGAAACGAGCAGCGGAAAUAGAGAUCGAGGUGUCGACGAAAGAGAAAGAGGUUUCGACCGUGGAAACCAAACGGAAAACCAUGGAACACACGGUCACAAGAUGCGACGUCCGUUUACCGAAAGUCACACCGAUCACCGAUGACUAUGAAAUCAGUAAUCACGUGCUUGGUCUUGGAAUAAACGGAAAAGUUGUUCAGUGUUAUGACAAAAAUACCAGGGAAAAAUAUGCGCUCAAGGUACUGUACGAUUGUGUAAAAGCACGAAGGGAAGUUGAAUUGCAUUGGAGAGCGUCAAACUGCAGGCACAUAGUGCAAGUCAAAGAUGUAUAUGAAAAUACAUAUAGUGGAAAUAAAUGUUUAUUAGUUAUUAUGGAAUGUAUGGAAGGAGGAGAACUGUUUGAGAGAAUACAAGAUAGGCAAGAUGGUGCUUUCACGGAGAGAGAAGCUGCACAAAUAAUGUAUGAAAUUUGUGUUGCUGUAAAGCACCUGCAUGAUAUGAAUAUUGCACACAGAGACCUUAAGCCGGAAAAUCUUUUGUACUCUAAGCCUGAUAGUACUGGAAUAUUGAAACUUACUGAUUUCGGUUUUGCGAAAGAGACCCAUAUGAAAGAUACACUACAAACCCCGUGUUAUACGCCAUACUAUGUUGCUCCUGAAGUUUUGGGACCAGAGAAAUAUGACAAAAGCUGUGAUAUUUGGUCACUUGGAGUUAUAAUGUAUAUACUAUUGUGCGGUUUCCCACCUUUCUACAGUAAUCAUGGUUUAGCAAUUUCACCAGGAAUGAAAAAAAGAAUUCGGUUAGGUCAAUAUGACUUUCCAGCUCCUGAAUGGUCCAAUGUAAGCACAGAGGCAAAGAAUCUCAUCAAGGGUAUGUUGUGUACAGAUCCAGCUCAAAGACUUCAAAUCGACGAAGUUAUGCGCAACAAAUGGAUUGCUCAAUACACGGAAGUACCCCCCACGCCUUUACAUACUGGUCGCGUACUCCGAGAAGGCGAAGAACUUUGGCCAGAAGUUCAAGAAGAAAUGACACGGUCAUUAGCUACCAUGCGCGUAGACUACGAUACGGCCAAUUUGAAACAAUUAGAUCACACAAAUAACGCGUUAUUAAACAAACGUAGACGAGCGAAACAAAAAAACGCUGUACCACCGACUGCUAAUCCUACGCCAGCAUCCUAGGGAGACGCGAUAAGAGCCAGUCAACACUGGCGCGUCUUUUUACGAAGAUGUAUAAGAAUAGUCUUGAAAAAAUCCUGCCUACGUCGAGAUAUUAGACGCAUGAAAUUGUAUUUGACCAUGCAAUUACGACAAUUUACGACAUCUUAAAUAUUUUUAAAAUGCUAUCGACCGUAAUUGCCAAAUUUGAAUGACAGGAGCACAGUUGACAUAAUAAACAAAGGAUAUUUUGCCAGUUAUGGUGCAUUUUUCGCGACUUAAAAGAUUUAAUAAUACAGAAAGAAGUACCAGGAUUAAAAAUCAAUCUGAUGCGACUAAAUAAUGUAUAUUACAAUUUAUAUUUAUUGAUGAAACGUUAAUAAGAAAACCGUUUUGUCAUCAGUAACUGCAUAUAUAAUAAAUUCAUAUUGAAAAGGAAUAUAAAAAAUAUUUUUCAAUUUUAAAUGGAAUGUUGGACUUCAUAAUGAAGGUCUGUUAUCUAAUAUAAAAGAAUACGCCACCUAAUUAGCAGCUUCUCAUUGAUUUACUUAAAAUUUAAGUCUUAAUUCAUAAAUUAAAAUGCUUGGCAAUUUUUAUGUGUAUAGUGUUUCUUUAAAUUAUUAAACUACUAUUAUUUAUCGUGAUUGACGUAUAAGACAAAAAUACAUCAUGCCAAUUUUUAUUAGUACGUUUUUUCAGUUGUUAUCUGUGUACAGUUACAAUUCAUUCAAACUAUGAAAAUAACGUUUAAUUAAAAAAUAAUGCAAACAUGUGUAAUGUACUUUUAAGUGAUAUUUUGACUGAGGCUGAAUACGUGUAAGAAUCCUUAUAAUUGUUGCAAGGUGCUAACAUACGUUGCUCUAAUUAUUUCGUAGGUAUUAAAACAAUACUACAAUUUCCUAAUUUUUUAAAUAAAUAAAAUUUAUAGUAAAAGAUGGAACUUAGGAACAAAGAUGUAUACAUUACGAUAUAAAUGUAGUAAUUAUAUUUUUUUAGAUGUAUUAUAAAAUAAAAAUUGAAAUUUAGACUAAAGAAAUGCCUUAACCAACAUCAGAUCAAUUUUUAGUUUAAUGUUUAAUUAGCAUAAUUAAAUAUUUCUGUUAGGUACAGAUUCAGUAACGUGUAAGGUGAGAGGUGAUGAAAUCUCAUGAAUGUAUCAUUGUUUCUUCUGAGGCGACGUUUAUGUUAUUAAUGUAAAUAUUAUAUGUACGAAGUAUUUUUAAUAAGAUACUUGUAGUUGAAGCUAUGAUUAUUCAUAUUAUCAACAGCUCUCCAUGAUAAGUAUUAGAAAUGUUUAAUAGAUGAAAAUAGAUCUUAUGACUGAUAAAUAAUGAGAAAAUUAGGCCUUAAUUGUUUUCACAGUUCUAUAUCAUUGAAUUGUUUUCAGAAUAAUAAAAUUUUCAACUAAGUACUAUAUUUAGUAAUAUACUUAUUAUUAAAUAAUAGAUUAUUUUAGAAUCGUGGAAACAAGACUUCUUCAAAAUAAACAUUAUGUAAUGGUUCAGCUUCUAAACCUCAUUAAAAAUAAUCAAACUGAAGGUCAACUAGUUGUAUACGAAAACUGACGCAAACUUAAAGAAAGGACAGUUCUACGCUACAUUUUUAAAUUAAAAUAAUACGUUUAGUUUCAAAUGUCAUAUAAACGACUGUUGCAUUAUUGUACUUGAUAAUACUGAAAUAGUACAAGUGUUGUUUACGAUUUUAUAGAUUAACAUUAUUAGAAAACGAAAAUAAGUAUGCGUGGCUUUGAGUUGGACUAUAAUAUCGAAAUAUUUUUGUAAUGGAUUCAAGUAUAUUGAUUUGCACUGCAUUUAUAAAACUCGACAAUAAAUGUAAAAAGUAUCAUUAAUUAAUGCAA